AUUCAACUGAUACACAAGUACGUUUCUAGAGCGAUGAUAAUCUAACAUGGGCUAAAUCAUGUACUUCUGAUUGCUUGUGCCAUUCAGAUUUGAUGAUCGUGGACGGAGUGACUAUGAUGGUAUUGGCAAUCGUGACAGACCUGGCUUUGGCAGAUUUGAACGGAAUGGACAUAGUCGUUGGUGUGACAAGUCAGAUGAAGAUGAUUGGUCAAAACCACUUCCACCAAGUGAACGCUUGGAGCAGUAAGUUUUUGAAAUGUAUGUUAAUUGUUAUGAAAUUUAUUGCUUAGUAUAACAUGUAUGUAAUAAUUGUUUGAUUUCAGAGAACUGUUUUCUGGAGGAAACACGGGGAUUAACUUUGAGAAAUAUGAUGAUAUACCAGUAGAGGCAACCGGCAGUAACUGUCCUCCACAUAUUGAGAAUUUUGGCGAUAUUGACAUGGGAGAAAUUAUCAUGGGGAACAUUCAACUUACUCGCUAUACUCGUCCUACUCCAGUGCAAAAACAU
RNAcentral lists this small RNA (507 nucleotides) under Pan troglodytes (chimpanzee). RNAcentral describes it as "processed transcript". Lineage: Eukaryota; Metazoa; Chordata; Mammalia; Primates; Hominidae. The record is from RNAcentral.